GACGAACGCUGGCGGCGUGCUUAACACAUGCAAGUCGAACGGAAAGGCCCUGCUUGCAGGGUGCUCGAGUGGCGAACGGGUGAGUAACACGUGGGUGAUCUGCCCCUUACUUUGGGAUAAGCCUGGGAAACUGGGUCUAAUACUGGAUAGGACCAUGCUGUAGGUGGUGUGGUGGAAAGAUUAGUUUCGGUAAGGGAUGAGCUCGCGGCCUAUCAGCUUGUUGGUGGGGUAAUGGCCUACCAAGGCGUCCACGGGUAGCCGGCCUGAGAGGGUGGACGGCCACAUUGGGACUGAGAUACGGCCCACACUCCUACGGGAGGCAGCAGUGGGGAAUAUUGCACAAUGGGCGCAAGCCUGAUGCAGCGACGCCGCGUGGGGGAUGACGGCCUUCGGGUUGUAAACUCCUUUCACCCAUGACGAAGCCCUUGUGGUGACGGUAGUGGUAGAAGAAGCACCGGCUAACUACGUGCCAGCAGCCGCGGUAAUACGUACGGUGCGAGCGUUGUCCGGAAUUACUGGGCGUAAAGAGCUCGUAGGUGGUCUGUCGCGUCAUUUGUGAAAGCCCGGGGCUUAACUCCGGGUUGGCAGGUGAUACGGGCAUGACUGGAGUACUGUAGGGGAGACUGGAAUUCCUGGUGUAGCGGUGGAAUGCGCAGAUAUCAGGAGGAACACCGGUGGCGAAGGCGGGUCUCUGGGCAGUAACUGACGCUGAGGAGCGAAAGCAUGGGUAGCGAACAGGAUUAGAUACCCUGGUAGUCCAUGCCGUAAACGGUGGGCGCUAGGUGUGGGUUUCCUUCCACGGGAUCCGUGCCGUAGCUAACGCAUUAAGCGCCCCGCCUGGGGAGUACGGCCGCAAGGCUAAAACUCAAAGGAAUUGACGGGGGCCCGCACAAGCGGCGGAGCAUGUGGAUUAAUUCGAUGCAACGCGAAGAACCUUACCUGGGCUUGACAUGCACUGGAUGCGGCCAGAGAUGGUUGUUCCCUUUGUGGCUGGUGUGCAGGUGGUGCAUGGUUGUCGUCAGCUCGUGUCGUGAGAUGUUGGGUUAAGUCCCGCAACGAGCGCAACCCUUGUCUCGUGUUGCCAGCAUUUGGUUGGGGACUCGCGGGAGACUGCCGGGGUUAACUCGGAGGAAGGUGGGGAUGACGUCAAAUCAUCAUGCCCCUUAUGUCCAGGGCUUCACACAUGCUACAAUGGCUGGUACAGAGAGUUGCGAUACCGUGAGGUGGGGCUAAUCUCGUAAAGCCAGUCUCAGUUCGGAUUGGAGUCUGCAACUCGACUCCAUGAAGUCGGAGUCGCUAGUAAUCGCAGAUCAGCAAUGCUGCGGUGAAUAAAGUCNCCGGGCCU
This 1345-nucleotide ribosomal RNA is filed under the name uncultured bacterium. Its description in RNAcentral is "bacterial SSU rRNA". It matches the Rfam family "Bacterial small subunit ribosomal RNA", at positions 28 to 1381 of the family's 1533-position model. The record is from RNAcentral.